Molecule: ribosomal RNA, 470 nt
Filed under: uncultured Pelotomaculum sp.
Lineage: Bacteria; Bacillati; Bacillota; Clostridia; Eubacteriales; Desulfotomaculaceae
Description: bacterial SSU rRNA
Rfam family: Bacterial small subunit ribosomal RNA
Source: RNAcentral
ACGGGGCCCGCACAAGCGGUGGAGCAUGUGGUUAAUUCGACGCAACGCGAAGAACCUUACCAGGGCUUGACAUCCCCUGACCGCGUAUGAAAGUACGUUUUCACCCUCGGGUGACAGGGAGACAGGUGGUGCAUGGUUGUCGUCAGCUCGUGUCGUGAGAUGUUGGGUUAAGUCCCGCAACGAGCGCAACCCCUACGUUUAGUUGCUAACGCGUGAAGGCGAGCACUCUAGACGAACUGCCGUUGACAAAACGGAGGAAGGUGGGACGACGUCAAGUCAGCAUGACCUUUAUAUCCAGGGCUACACACACGCUACAAUGGUCAGUACAAUGGGUUGCCAAGCCGCGAGGCGGAGCCAAUCCUAAAAAGCUGGCCUCAGUUCAGAUUGCAGUCUGAAACUCGACUGCAUGAAGUCGGAGUUGCUAGUAAACGCAGGUCAGCUAUACUGCGUUGAAUACGUUCCCGGGGCUU